UCAGUUUGAUUCUAGCUGCCCGAUUAAUUAUUUCAAUGAAAAACACAUGCAAGACUCCCUUUCCCGUGAAUAGCCUAGAGCCUCUCUAAAAGAACUUCUCUAUUUAUAGCCUUAAUAAAAUUUAUAAUGCUUAAACAUCUUCACGCCUGCAGUGACGAACCCUGCCCCCGUUGUUUACGCAAACCCCGGAAAAGAAUAAAGGGCUGAUAAAAUUCGUGCCAGCAAUCGCGGUUAUACGAUGAGCCCAAAUUAAUCAAUUCGGUGACAUAGAAUUCUCUCAUGAUAAUAAACUAAUUAACUAGAGGUACAAUUCAAUAACAUAUAAUUUAUCUUCUAUUAUCUUAAAUAACCUCUAUAAAAGCUUAACCCAAAACAAGGAUUAGAUACCCUUCUAUUUUAAGCCUCACACCAAAUACCGGGUACUACGAACACAUGUUUAAAACCCAAAGAUCUUGGCGGUGCUUCAACCCAACCAGGGGAACCUGUUCUUUAAAUUGAUAAUCCACACAAAACAAACCUUUUAUUGAAAUCAGCUUGUAUACUGCCGUCGCCAGUUUACCUUGAAAAAGACAGUAAACCUAAAAGAGUAACUCUCACGUCAGGUCAAAGUGCAGCCUAUAAAAAGGAAGAAAUGGGUUACAACCUUAAUAAAGAAAACGAACCUAAGAUGAAAACUUAAUAUAAGGUGGACUUGAAAGUAAUAAAUUUAUACCUUAAAUUUAUGAAUAAGGCAAUCUGAAGCGUGCACACAUCGCCCGUCACUCUCGCCUUUAGGGGAGAUAAGUCGUAACAUAGUUGAUAUAAUGGAAAUUGUAUCUAU
Molecule: non-coding RNA, 820 nt
Filed under: Nephtys sp. 'San Juan Island' YV-2008
Lineage: Eukaryota; Metazoa; Annelida; Polychaeta; Phyllodocida; Nephtyidae
Also listed under: 1 other name
Source: RNAcentral